This is a long non-coding RNA of Astatotilapia calliptera (eastern happy), 1601 nucleotides long. The record is from Ensembl. Lineage: Eukaryota; Metazoa; Chordata; Actinopteri; Cichliformes; Cichlidae.
CUGUCCCCUUGGCAGAGAAACAGCCCCAUAGCAUGAUGUUUCCACCCCCAUGCUUCACAGUAGGUAUGGUGUUCUUGGGAUGCAACUCAGUAUUCUUCUUCCUCCAAACACGACGAGUUGAGUUUAUACCAAAAAGUUCUACUUUGGUUUCAUCUGACCACAUGACAUUCUCCCAAUCCUCUGCUGUAUCAUCCAUGUGCUCUCUGGCAAACUUCAGACGGGCCUGGACAUGCACUGGCUUCAGCAGCGGAACACGUCUGGCACUGCGGGAUUUGAUUCCCUGCCGUUGUAGUGUGUUACUGAUGGUGACCUUUGUUACUUUGGUCCCAGCUCUCUGCAGGUCAUUCACCAGGUCCCCCCGUGUGGUUCUGGGAUCUUUGCUCACCGUUCUCAUGAUCAUUUUGACCCCACGGGAUGAGAUCUUGCGUGGAGCCCCAGAUCGAGGGAGAUUAUCAGUGGUCUUGUAUGUCUUCCAUUUUCUGAUGAUUGCUCCCACAUUUGAUUUUUUCACACCAAGCUGCUUGCCUAUUGUAGAUUCACUCUUCCCAGUCUGGUGCAGGUCUACAAUACUUUUCCUGGUGUCCUUCGAAAGCUCUUUGGUCUUGGCCAUGGCGGAGUUUGGAGUCUGACUGUUUGAGGCUGUGGACAGGUGUCUUUUAUACAGAUGAUGAGUUCAAACAGGUGCCAUUCAUACAGGUAACGAGUGGGGGACACAAAAGCUUCUUACAGAAGACGUUACAGGUCUGUGAGAGCCAGAGAUUUUCCUUGUUUGAGGUGACCAAAUACUUAUUUUCCACCAUAAUUUACAAAUAAAUUCUUUACAAAUCCUACCAUGUGAAUUCAUGGAUUUUUUUUUUUUUUUUUUUUUUCACAUUCUGUCUCUCACAGUUGAAGUGUACCUCUGGUGCAAAUUACUGACCUCUGUCUUCAUUUUAAGUGGGGGAACUUGCACAAUCGGUGGCUGACUAAAUACUUUUUUGCCCCACUGUAUGUGCAACAAUUUCAGAAUUUACAACUGGGAAAAACAGUCACAGACAACUGUAACUGUCAGCAUUUCAUCUUGUCAGCAAAUUGUAGUUUUUGUCAACUUCCAUGGUAAACAUCUUUUCUGUUUCCCAGCAGCAGAAUCUGUUUACAUUGUUUUCAGGACCUCUUGGAACAUUUAGUUUACCCGGAAAACAUUUGGUACAACAGGAGCCCUAUCCAAAAUCCUCAGAUCCUCCUGGCUGCACUAAUCUAAUCAGCAUGUUCGUGCUAAAGAAAAGCUCACAUCUCCAGUGCUUCGUUUCAGUACAAAAUUACAAGAACGCCAUUAGACGAAAUACUGAUGAUGCUUAGUUUGAGUAGUUUUCUUCUGUACACACUUGUUUGACACUUUUAUUGAAGAUAUAAAACCAAUGAAGCACUAUAAAUAAAUAAUUGUGUUUCAGAAGCAAUAAAGCUAAAUAGAAUUAUCAAGCUCAUAACUGAAUGAAGACAUGGCAAUAAACUGCUGUAGACAAUCAUGCAGUCGUGAGACAAAUUCCCUCUUGCAUGCAUCUCAAUAACAACUGUGCUCAUGGAAAAAAAUCUUUUCGAAACAUUAAGAAAUACAUUCUAAA